RNAcentral lists this long non-coding RNA (1244 nucleotides) under Salmo salar (Atlantic salmon). RNAcentral describes it as "lncRNA (ENSSSAG00000110528.1)". The record is from RNAcentral. Lineage: Eukaryota; Metazoa; Chordata; Actinopteri; Salmoniformes; Salmonidae.
CUAAGACAUAAUGAACAGGUGUGGUAAUGAACAGGUGAGGUAGUCUCUAAGACAUAAUGAACAGGUGUGGUAGUCUCUAAGACAUAAUGAACAGGUGUGGUAGUCUCUAAGACAUAAUGAACAGGUGAGGUAGUCUCUAAGACAUAAUGAACAGGUGAGGUAGUCUCUAAGACAUAAUGAACAGGUGAGGUAGUCUCUAAGACAUAAUGAACAGGUGUGGUAGUCUCUAAGACAUAAUGAACAGGUGUGGUAGUCUCUAAGACAUAAUGAACAGGUGAGGUAGUCUCUAAGACAUAAUGAACAGGUGAGGUAGUCUCUAAGACAUAAUUAACAGGUGUGGUAGUCUCUAAGACAUAAUGAACAGGUGUGGUAGUCUAUAAGACAUAAUGAACAGGUGUGGUAGUCUAUAAGACAUAAUGAACAGGUGAGGUAGUCUCUAAGACAUAAUGAACAGGUGUGGUAGUCUCUAAGACAUAAUGAACAGGUGAGGUAGUCUAUAAGACAUAAUGAACAGGUGUGGUAGUCUCUUAAGACAUAAUGAACAGGUGUGGUCGUAUCUAAGACAUAAUGAACAGGUGAGGUAGUCUAUAAGACAUAAUGAACAGGUGACGUAGUCUCUAAGACAUAAUGAACAGGUGUGGUAGUCUCUAAGACAUAAUGAACAGGUGUGGUAAUGAACAGGUGAGGUAGUCUCUAAGACAUAAUGAACAGGUGUGGUAGUCUCUAAGACAUAAUGAACAGGUGUGGUAGUCUCUAAGACAUAAUGUACAGGUGUGGUAGUCUCUAAGACAUAAUGAACAGGUGUGGUAGUCUCUAAGACAUAAUGAACAGGUGUGGUGGUCUCUAAGACAUAAUGAACAGGUGAGGUAGUCUAUAAGACAUAAUGAACAGGUGUGGUAGUCUCUAAGACAUAAUGAACAGGUGAGGUAGUCGCUAAGACAUAAUGAACAGGUGAGGUAGUCUCUAAGACAUAAUGAACAGGUGUGGUAGUCUCUAAGACAUAAUGAACAGGUGUGGUAGUCUAUAAGACAUAAUGAACAGGUGAGGUAGUCUAUAAGACCUAAUGAACAGGUGUGGUAGUCUCUAAGACAUAAUGAACAGGUGUGGUAGUCUAUAAGACCUAAUGAACAGGUGUGGUAGUCUCUAAGACAUAAUGAACAGGUGUGGUAGUCUCUAAGACAUAAUGAACAGGUGUGGUAGUCUAUAAGACAUAAUGAACAGGUGUGGUAGUCUAUAAGACAUAA